RNAcentral lists this ribosomal RNA (447 nucleotides) under uncultured bacterium. RNAcentral's name for it is "bacterial SSU rRNA". It matches the Rfam family "Bacterial small subunit ribosomal RNA", at positions 329 to 793 of the family's 1533-position model. The record is from RNAcentral.
AACCAGACUCCUACGGGAGGCAGCAGUGGGGAAUAUUGCACAAUGGGGGAAACCCUGAUGCAGCGACGCCGCGUGGGUGACGAAGUAUUUCGGUAUGUAAAGCCCUAUCAGCAGGGAAGAAAAUGACGGUACCUGGCUAAGAAGCCCCGGCUAACUACGUGCCAGCAGCCGCGGUAAUACGUAGGGGGCAAGCGUUAUCCGGAUUUACUGGGUGUAAAGGGAGCGUAGACGGCGACGCAAGUCUGAAGUGAAAUGCCAGUGCUCAACACUGGAACUGCUUUGGAAACUGUGUUGCUAGAGUGCAGGAGAGGUAAGUGGAAUUCCUAGUGUAGCGGUGAAAUGCGUAGAUAUUAGGAGGAACACCAGUGGCGAAGGCGGCCUACUGGACGGUGACUGACGCUGAGGCUCGAAAGCGUGGGGAGCAAACAGGAUUAGAUACCCUCGUAA